Molecule: ribosomal RNA, 467 nt
Filed under: uncultured bacterium
Lineage: Bacteria
Description: bacterial SSU rRNA
Rfam family: Bacterial small subunit ribosomal RNA
Source: RNAcentral
UGGGGAAUCUUGCACAAUGGGCGAAAGCCUGAUGCAGCAACGCCGCGUGCGGGAAGACAGCCCUAGGGUUGUAAACCGCUUUCAGCAGGGAAGAAACUGACGGUACCUGCAGAAGAAGAUGCGGCCAACUACGUGCCAGCAGCCGCGGUGACACGUAGGCAUCAAGCGUUAUCCGGAUUUAUUGGGCGUAAAGAGCUCGUAGGCGGUUCGGUAAGUCGGGUGUGAAACUCUGGGCUCAACCCAGAGAGGCCACUCGAUACUGCUGUGACUAGAGUGCGGUAGGGGAGCGGGGAAUUCCUGGUGUAGCGGUGAAAUGCGCAGAUAUCAGGAGGAACACCAGUGGCGAAGGCGCCGCUCUGGGCCGUAACUGACGCUGAGGAGCGAAAGCAUGGGUAGCAAACAGGAUUAGAUACCCUGGUAGUCCACACCGUAAACGAUGAAUGCCAGUCGUCGGGUAGCAUGCUAUU